UGGGAGUUCGGUGGUGGGCAGAUGGCUCGGUAACCCGGUCAGAUCCGGAAGGAAGCAGCCGUAACGAGGCUUUUCUGGGUUGCUGCCGGCUCCUUUUU
RNAcentral lists this signal recognition particle RNA (98 nucleotides) under Rhodospirillaceae bacterium. RNAcentral's name for it is "signal recognition particle sRNA small type". It matches the Rfam family "Bacterial small signal recognition particle RNA". From Rfam's summary of the family: The signal recognition particle (SRP) is a universally conserved ribonucleoprotein involved in the co-translational targeting of proteins to membranes. Archaeal SRP consists of a 7S RNA and homologues of the eukaryotic SRP19 and SRP54 proteins. In most bacteria, the SRP consists of a 4.5S RNA and the Ffh protein (a homologue of the eukaryotic SRP54 protein). Lineage: Bacteria; Pseudomonadati; Pseudomonadota; Alphaproteobacteria; Rhodospirillales; Rhodospirillaceae. The record is from RNAcentral.